CAGUCGCCGCGGUAAUACGUAGGUGGCGAGCGUUGUCCGGAAUCAUUGGGCGUAAAGGGCUCGCAGGCGGUUUCUUAAGUCUGAUGUGAAAGCCCCCGGCUCAACCGGGGAGGGCCAUUGGAAACUGGGAAACUUGAGUGCAGAAGAGGAGAGUGGAAUUCCACGUGUAGCGGUGAAAUGCGUAGAGAUGUGGAGGAACACCAGUGGCGAAGGCGACUCUCUGGUCUGUAACUGACGCUGAGGAGCGAAAGCGUGGGGAGCGAACAGGAUUAGAUACCCCUGUAGUCCCUGUCUCUUAUAC
This 301-nucleotide ribosomal RNA is filed under the name uncultured bacterium. RNAcentral's name for it is "partial 16S ribosomal RNA". It matches the Rfam family "Bacterial small subunit ribosomal RNA", at positions 509 to 807 of the family's 1533-position model. The record is from RNAcentral.